RNAcentral lists this ribosomal RNA (420 nucleotides) under Vibrio sp. 65V. RNAcentral describes it as "bacterial SSU rRNA". It matches the Rfam family "Bacterial small subunit ribosomal RNA", at positions 157 to 532 of the family's 1533-position model. The record is from RNAcentral. Lineage: Bacteria; Pseudomonadati; Pseudomonadota; Gammaproteobacteria; Vibrionales; Vibrionaceae.
UUGAAAGUAAUUCCCUUUACAAAUACAGUAUUGAUAAGCAUUCUCAUUAUUGGCACGGUACAUGCAACUCCAAAAAGUAAGAUAGUUGAGUAUCCUUAAUGAGAUAACUUCUCUAAAUAAAGGUGAUGAUAUGACAGAUAUUCCUCAUGGCUUAGUAACCGGAAAAGUCGUAACAAGGUAACCGUAAGCCACACUGGAACUGAGACACGGUCCAGACUCCUACGGGAGGCAGCAUUGGGGAAUAUUGCACAAUGGGCGAAAGCCUGAUGCAGCCAUGCCGCGUGUAUGAAGAAGGCCUUCGGGUUGUAAAGUACUUUCAGUUGUGAGGAAGGGUGUGUAGUUAAUAGCUGCACAUCUUGACGUUAGCAACAGAAGAAGCACCGGCUAACUCCGUGCCAGCAGCCGCGGUAAUACGGAGGG